This 72-nucleotide transfer RNA is filed under the name Ictidomys tridecemlineatus (thirteen-lined ground squirrel). Its description in RNAcentral is "Spermophilus tridecemlineatus (thirteen-lined ground squirrel) tRNA". It matches the Rfam family "tRNA". Rfam says of the family: Transfer RNA (tRNA) molecules are approximately 80 nucleotides in length. Their secondary structure includes four short double-helical elements and three loops (D, anti-codon, and T loops). Lineage: Eukaryota; Metazoa; Chordata; Mammalia; Rodentia; Sciuridae. The record is from Rfam by way of RNAcentral.
UGGAUUGUAGCUCAGAAGUAGAGCACUUGUCUAGCAUGUGUGAGGCACUGGGUUCGAUUCUCAGCACUGCAU